This 28-nucleotide small RNA is filed under the name Bombyx mori (domestic silkworm). RNAcentral describes it as "ovarian small RNA-415". Lineage: Eukaryota; Metazoa; Arthropoda; Insecta; Lepidoptera; Bombycidae. The record is from RNAcentral.
UUCAUGCGUGUGAAGAAUUGGUGCAGGU